AAACUUUCAACAACGGAUCUCUUGGUUCUGGCAUCGAUGAAGAACGCAGCGAAAUGCGAUAAGUAAUGUGAAUUGCAGAAUUCCGCGAAUCAUCGAAUCUUUGAACGCACAUUGCGCCCCUCGGUAUUCCGGGGGGCAUGCUUGUUCGAGCGUCAUUA
Molecule: ribosomal RNA, 158 nt
Filed under: uncultured fungus
Lineage: Eukaryota; Fungi
Description: 5.8S ribosomal RNA
Rfam family: 5.8S ribosomal RNA
About the family: 5.8S ribosomal RNA (5.8S rRNA) is a component of the large subunit of the eukaryotic ribosome.
Source: RNAcentral